UACGAAGGGGGCUAGCGUUGCUCGGAGUUACUGGGCGUAAAGGGCGCGUAGGCGGAUGUUUAAGUCGGGGGUGAAAGCCCGGGGCUCAACCUCGGAAUUGCCUUCGAUACUGGACAUCUUGAGUACGGGAGAGGUGAGUGGAACUCCGAGUGUAGAGGUGAAAUUCGUAGAUAUUCGGAAGAACACCAGUGGCGAAGGCGACUCACUGGCCCGUUACUGACGCUGAGGCGCGAAAGCGUGGGGAGCAAACAGG
RNAcentral lists this ribosomal RNA (253 nucleotides) under uncultured bacterium. RNAcentral describes it as "partial 16S ribosomal RNA". It matches the Rfam family "Bacterial small subunit ribosomal RNA", at positions 524 to 776 of the family's 1533-position model. The record is from RNAcentral.